AAGAACCAACAGGGAUUGCCCCAGUAACGGCGAGUGAAGCGGCAACAGCUCAAAUUUGAAAUCUGGCUCUCAGGGCCCGAGUUGUAAUUUGUAGAGGAUGCUUUUGGCGAGGUGCCUUCCGAGUUCCCUGGAACGGGACGCCACAGAGGGUGAGAGCCCCGUAUGGUCGGACACCGAGCCUCUGUAAAGCUCCUUCGACGAGUCGAGUAGUUUGGGAAUGCUGCUCAAAAUGGGAGGUAUAUGUCUUCUAAAGCUAAAUAUUGGCCAGAGACCGAUAGCGCACAAGUAGAGUGAUCGAAAGAUGAAAAGCACUUUGAAAAGAGGGUUAAAAAGUACGUGAAAUUGUUGAAAGGGAAGCGCCUAUGACCAGACUUGGGCCCGGUGAAUCACCCAGCGUUCUCGCUGGUGCACUUUGCCGGGCACAGGCCAGCAUCAGUUCAGCGCGGGGGAGAAAGGCUUCGGGAAUGUGGCUCCCUCGGGAGUGUUAUAGCCCGCUGCGUAAUGCCCUGCGCCGGACUGAGGUACGCGCAUUGCAAGGAUGCUGGCGUAAUGGUCAUCAGCGACCCGUCUUGAAACACGGACCAAGGAGUCGUCUUCGUAUGCGAGUGUUCGGGUGUCAAACCCCUACGCGUAAUGAAAGUGAACGUAGGUGAGAGCUUCGGCGCAUCACCGACCGAUCCUGAUGUUCUCGGAUGGAUUUGAGUAAGAGCAUACGGGGCCGGACCCGAAAGAAGGUGAACUAUGCCUGUAUAGGGUGAAGCCAGAGGAAACUCUGGUGGAGGCUCGCAGCGGUUCUGACGUGCGAAUCGAUCGUCAAUAUGGGCAUGGGGGCGAAAGACUAAUCGACC
RNAcentral lists this ribosomal RNA (848 nucleotides) under Beauveria bassiana. RNAcentral's name for it is "partial large subunit ribosomal RNA". It matches the Rfam family "Eukaryotic large subunit ribosomal RNA", at positions 56 to 941 of the family's 3401-position model. Lineage: Eukaryota; Fungi; Ascomycota; Sordariomycetes; Hypocreales; Cordycipitaceae. The record is from RNAcentral.